CCUACGGGAGGCAGCAGUGAGGAAUAUUGGUCAAUGGGCGGAAGCCUGAACCAGCCAAGUAGCGUGCAGGAUGACGGCCCUACGGGUUGUAAACUGCUUUUAUACGGGAAUAACGCGCCUUACGUGUAGGGCUUUGCAUGUACCGUAUGAAUAAGGACCGGCUAAUUCCGUGCCAGCAGCCGCGGUAAUACGGAAGGUGCGGGCGUUAUCCGGAUUUAUUGGGUUUAAAGGGAGCGUAGGCCGCAUGUCAAGCGUGCUGUGAAAUGUCCGGGCUCAACCCGGGCCUUGCCGCGGGAACUGGAGUGCUUGAGUCCGCGAGAGGCAGGCGGAAUUCGUGGUGUAGCGGUGAAAUGCUUAGAUAUGACGAAGAACCCCGAUUGCGAAGGCAGCUUGCUGCAGCGGAACUGACGCUGAUGCUCGAAAGCGUGGGUAUCGAACAGGAUUAGAUACCCGAGUAGUC
RNAcentral lists this ribosomal RNA (460 nucleotides) under uncultured bacterium. RNAcentral's name for it is "partial 16S ribosomal RNA". It matches the Rfam family "Bacterial small subunit ribosomal RNA", at positions 338 to 795 of the family's 1533-position model. The record is from RNAcentral.